RNAcentral lists this small RNA (566 nucleotides) under Pongo abelii (Sumatran orangutan). RNAcentral describes it as "processed transcript". The record is from RNAcentral. Lineage: Eukaryota; Metazoa; Chordata; Mammalia; Primates; Hominidae.
GCAGGCUUCUCCCAGGCUGCUCUCGGUCAGCUGUGCGGACCUCGCCAAGCGUCAGGAACUUCCGGGGAAGAAGCCGCUCUCUGAGAAAAAGCUGAAAAGGUAUUUUGUGGACUAUCGGAGAGUGCUUGUCUGUGGAGGAAACGGAGGCGCUGGGGCAAGCUGCUUCCACAGUGAGCCCCGCAAGGAGUUUGGAGGCCCUGAUGGAGGGGAUGGAGGCAACGGUGGACACGUCAUUCUGAGAGCUGACCAGCAAGUCAAGUCCCUGUCGUCGGUCCUGUCGCGGUACCAGGGUUUCAGUGGAGAAGAUGGUGGGAGUAAAAACUGCUUCGGGCGCAGUGGCGCCGUCCUCUACAUCCGGGUGGGAUUCCCCAACGCCGGGAAGUCCUCACUGCUCCGGGCCAUUUCAAACGCCAGACCCGCCGUGGCUUCCUACCCGUUCACCACCCUGAAGCCCCACGUCGGGAUCGUCCACUACGAAGGCCACCUACAAAUAGCAGUGGCCGACAUCCCCGGCAUCAUACGAGGCGCCCACCAGAACAGGGGCCUGGGGUCCGCCUUCCUCAGGC